AUUGAACGCUGGCGGAAUGCCUAACACAUGCAAGUCGAGCGGGGUGUAGCAAUACACCUAGCGGCGGACGGGUGAGAAUACAUAGGAAUCUACCUUUAAGUGGGGAUAGCCCGGGGAAACCCGGAUUAAUACCGCAUGAUCUCGCAAGAGCAAAGCGGGGGACCGUAAGGCCUCGCGCUGAAAGAUGAGCCUAUGUCGGAUUAGCUAGUUGGCGGGGUAAAGCCCACCAAGGCGACGAUCCGUAGCUGGUCUGAGAGGACGAUCAGCCACACCGGAACUGAGACACGGUCCGGACUCCUACGGGAGGCAGCAGUGGGGAAUAUUGGACAAUGGGCGCAAGCCUGAUCCAGCAAUUCCGCGUGUGUGAAGAAGGCC
RNAcentral lists this ribosomal RNA (375 nucleotides) under uncultured bacterium. RNAcentral describes it as "bacterial SSU rRNA". It matches the Rfam family "Bacterial small subunit ribosomal RNA", at positions 30 to 416 of the family's 1533-position model. The record is from RNAcentral.